GACAGAGGGGGCAAGCGUUGCUCGGAAUCACUGGGCGUAAAGGGCGCGUAGGCGGGAUGGCAAGUCAGUCGUGAAAUCUCUCGGCUCAACCGAGAAACGUCGGCUGAUACUGCCGUUCUUGAGGGAUGCAGAGGAGACUGGAAUUCCCGGUGUAGCGGUGAAAUGUGUAGAGAUCGGAAAGAACACCAACGGCGAAAGCACUCUGCUGGGCCGACACUGACACUGAGAGACGAAAGCUAGGGGAGCGAAUGGG
Molecule: ribosomal RNA, 253 nt
Filed under: uncultured bacterium
Lineage: Bacteria
Description: partial 16S ribosomal RNA
Rfam family: Bacterial small subunit ribosomal RNA
Source: RNAcentral